Oreochromis niloticus (Nile tilapia) is the source of this 601-nucleotide long non-coding RNA. RefSeq lists it as uncharacterized. NCBI's taxonomy places the organism in Eukaryota, Metazoa, Chordata, Actinopteri, Cichliformes, Cichlidae. The record is from RefSeq and is a predicted model, not a curated record. The transcript has 3 exons.
CACACUGAUUUGUUUUUGUUUUUUUGUGUAUGAGGUUUGUUCAUAAUAUCUACUGAAGAACAGAUUAGCAGAUUACCCCGUGGAUCAUUAUGAGGACGACUGCAUGUCAUUUCAGUUGGAUCGUUAGCCAUAUUUAUGGGCACCACAGUUGAGUACACAAACAAGGAGUUAAAUCAAAUGGCUGAGGAGACACAGGAGAUAGAGGGAGAGGCACACAGAUAAUAUAAUGUGAGAAACCGGUGGUGUUCCUGCACUGACUCUUCUGCUGGAGGAGAGAAACUUUUGCUGCCAAGCACUGAGCCUGUGGAUGCCUGAAUUUGUGGCUCUGAUAAACAUCACUAUACUGCAGAUGGUGUUUCUCGCGUCCAAAAUCAACUAGAAGAAAAGACCAAAACUGAUGGGACCAGACCACAUGAUUCUCCCGCGGACGUUUUUCCCCUCCGAGCUCCGCGGUCUGGCUCUGACAUUUUCCCACGGUCCCGAUUACAGCUUCUCUCAGCACCUCCAUAUUUGCUCCCAUUUUCUCUGGCCCAAGUUGAACUUUCACUUUCAUAGUUUGCAAUUGUUUUCUCGUAAAAGAAAUAAACUUUGUAUAUAGCGC